AAGAGUUUGUGUAUCUUCGGGUACCUUCUCCCACCCAAUGUGAACUUUUUUCGUUGCCUCGGCAGGUCGAUGGUACCCAAUUGGUGUACCCAUCCUUCGGCUUCUGUUGAAGAGUACCUGCCGAUGGAUUUUAAAACUUGAUUUAACUUGUCCUCUGAGUAAAAACAAAUAAAAACA
RNAcentral lists this unclassified non-coding RNA (177 nucleotides) under uncultured fungus. Its description in RNAcentral is "sequence contains ITS1, 5.8S rRNA gene". The record is from RNAcentral. Lineage: Eukaryota; Fungi.